GACGAACGCUGGCGGCGUGCUUAACACAUGCAAGUCGAACGGAAAGGCCCUGCUUUUGUGGGGGGCUCGAGUGGCGAACGGGUGAGUAACACGUGAGUAACCUGCCCUUGACUUUGGGAUAACUUCAGGAAACUGGGGCUAAUACCGGAUAGGAGCUCCUGCUGCAUGGUGGGGGUUGGAAAGUUUCGGCGGUUGGGGAUGGACUCGCGGCUUAUCAGCUUGUUGGUGGGGUAGUGGCUUACCAAGGCUUUGACGGGUAGCCGGCCUGAGAGGGUGACCGGCCACAUUGGGACUGAGAUACGGCCCAGACUCCUACGGGAGGCAGCAGUGGGGAAUAUUGCACAAUGGGCGGAAGCCUGAUGCAGCAACGCCGUGUGCGGGAUGACGGCCUUCGGGUUGUAAACCGCUUUCGCCUGUGACGAAGCGUGAGUGACGGUAAUGGGUAAAGAAGCACCGGCUAACUACGUG
RNAcentral lists this ribosomal RNA (468 nucleotides) under uncultured bacterium. RNAcentral's name for it is "partial 16S ribosomal RNA". It matches the Rfam family "Bacterial small subunit ribosomal RNA", at positions 28 to 507 of the family's 1533-position model. The record is from RNAcentral.